Molecule: ribosomal RNA, 2902 nt
Filed under: Escherichia coli HVH 46 (4-2758776)
Lineage: Bacteria; Pseudomonadati; Pseudomonadota; Gammaproteobacteria; Enterobacterales; Enterobacteriaceae
Also listed under: 1 other name
Description: bacterial LSU rRNA
Rfam family: Bacterial large subunit ribosomal RNA
Source: RNAcentral
UUAAGCGACUAAGCGUACACGGUGGAUGCCCUGGCAGUCAGAGGCGAUGAAGGACGUGCUAAUCUGCGAUAAGCGUCGGUGAGGUGAUAUGAACCGUUAUAACCGGCGAUUUCCGAAUGGGGAAACCCAGUGUGUUUCGACACACUAUCAUUAACUGAAUCCAUAGGUUAAUGAGGCGAACCGGGGGAACUGAAACAUCUAAGUACCCCGAGGAAAAGAAAUCAACCGAGAUUCCCCCAGUAGCGGCGAGCGAACGGGGAGGAGCCCAGAGCCUGAAUCAGUGUGUGUGUUAGUGGAAGCGUCUGGAAAGGCGUGCGAUACAGGGUGACAGCCCCGUACACAAAAAUGCACAUAUUGUGAGCUCGAUGAGUAGGGCGGGACACGUGGUAUCCUGUCUGAAUAUGGGGGGACCAUCCUCCAAGGCUAAAUACUCCUGACUGACCGAUAGUGAACCAGUACCGUGAGGGAAAGGCGAAAAGAACCCCGGCGAGGGGAGUGAAAAAGAACCUGAAACCGUGUACGUACAAGCAGUGGGAGCCUCUUAAUGGGGUGACUGCGUACCUUUUGUAUAAUGGGUCAGCGACUUAUAUUCUGUAGCAAGGUUAACCGAAUAGGGGAGCCGAAGGGAAACCGAGUCUUAACUGGGCGUUAAGUUGCAGGGUAUAGACCCGAAACCCGGUGAUCUAGCCAUGGGCAGGUUGAAGGUUGGGUAACACUAACUGGAGGACCGAACCGACUAAUGUUGAAAAAUUAGCGGAUGACUUGUGGCUGGGGGUGAAAGGCCAAUCAAACCGGGAGAUAGCUGGUUCUCCCCGAAAGCUAUUUAGGUAGCGCCUCGUGAAUUCAUCUCCGGGGGUAGAGCACUGUUUCGGCAAGGGGGUCAUCCCGACUUACCAACCCGAUGCAAACUGCGAAUACCGGAGAAUGUUAUCACGGGAGACACACGGCGGGUGCUAACGUCCGUCGUGAAGAGGGAAACAACCCAGACCGCCAGCUAAGGUCCCAAAGUCAUGGUUAAGUGGGAAACGAUGUGGGAAGGCCCAGACAGCCAGGAUGUUGGCUUAGAAGCAGCCAUCAUUUAAAGAAAGCGUAAUAGCUCACUGGUCGAGUCGGCCUGCGCGGAAGAUGUAACGGGGCUAAACCAUGCACCGAAGCUGCGGCAGCGACACUAUGUGUUGUUGGGUAGGGGAGCGUUCUGUAAGCCUGUGAAGGUGGCCUGUGAGGGGUGCUGGAGGUAUCAGAAGUGCGAAUGCUGACAUAAGUAACGAUAAAGCGGGUGAAAAGCCCGCUCGCCGGAAGACCAAGGGUUCCUGUCCAACGUUAAUCGGGGCAGGGUGAGUCGACUCCUAAGGCGAGGCCGAAAGGCGUAGUCGAUGGGAAACAGGUUAAUAUUCCUGUACUUGGUGUUACUGCGAAGGGGGGACGGAGAAGGCUAUGUUGGCCGGGCGACGGUUGUCCCGGUUUAAGCGUGUAGGCUGGUUUUCCAGGCAAAUCCGGAAAACCAAGGCUGAGGCGUGAUGACGAGGCACUACGGUGCUGAAGCGACAAAUGCCCUGCUUCCAGGAAAAGCCUCUAAGCAUCAGGUAACAUCAAAUCGUACCCCAAACCGACACAGGUGGUCAGGUAGAGAAUACCAAGGCGCUUGAGAGAACUCGGGUGAAGGAACUAGGCAAAAUGGUGCCGUAACUUCGGGAGAAGGCACGCUGAUAUGUAGGUGAAGCGACUUGCUCGUGGAGCUGAAAUCAGUCGAAGAUACCAGCUGGCUGCAACUGUUUAUUAAAAACACAGCACUGUGCAAACACGAAAGUGGACGUAUACGGUGUGACGCCUGCCCGGUGCCGGAAGGUUAAUUGAUGGGGUUAGCGGUAACGCGAAGCUCUUGAUCGAAGCCCCGGUAAACGGCGGCCGUAACUAUAACGGUCCUAAGGUAGCGAAAUUCCUUGUCGGGUAAGUUCCGACCUGCACGAAUGGCGUAAUGAUGGCCAGGCUGUCUCCACCCGAGACUCAGUGAAAUUGAACUCGCUGUGAAGAUGCAGUGUACCCGCGGCAAGACGGAAAGACCCCGUGAACCUUUACUAUAGCUUGACACUGAACAUUGAGCCUUGAUGUGUAGGAUAGGUGGGAGGCUUUGAAGUGUGGACGCCAGUCUGCAUGGAGCCGACCUUGAAAUACCACCCUUUAAUGUUUGAUGUUCUAACGUUGGCCCGUAAUCCGGGUUGCGGACAGUGUCUGGUGGGUAGUUUGACUGGGGCGGUCUCCUCCUAAAGAGUAACGGAGGAGCACGAAGGUUGGCUAAUCCUGGUCGGACAUCAGGAGGUUAGUGCAAUGGCAUAAGCCAGCUUGACUGCGAGCGUGACGGCGCGAGCAGGUGCGAAAGCAGGUCAUAGUGAUCCGGUGGUUCUGAAUGGAAGGGCCAUCGCUCAACGGAUAAAAGGUACUCCGGGGAUAACAGGCUGAUACCGCCCAAGAGUUCAUAUCGACGGCGGUGUUUGGCACCUCGAUGUCGGCUCAUCACAUCCUGGGGCUGAAGUAGGUCCCAAGGGUAUGGCUGUUCGCCAUUUAAAGUGGUACGCGAGCUGGGUUUAGAACGUCGUGAGACAGUUCGGUCCCUAUCUGCCGUGGGCGCUGGAGAACUGAGGGGGGCUGCUCCUAGUACGAGAGGACCGGAGUGGACGCAUCACUGGUGUUCGGGUUGUCAUGCCAAUGGCACUGCCCGGUAGCUAAAUGCGGAAGAGAUAAGUGCUGAAAGCAUCUAAGCACGAAACUUGCCCCGAGAUGAGUUCUCCCUGACUCCUUGAGAGUCCUGAAGGAACGUUGAAGACGACGACGUUGAUAGGCCGGGUGUGUAAGCGCAGCGAUGCGUUGAGCUAACCGGUACUAAUGAACCGUGAGGCUUAACCUU